This 2413-nucleotide long non-coding RNA is filed under the name Chlamydomonas reinhardtii. RNAcentral's name for it is "long non-coding RNA (CREI_LNC000668)". Lineage: Eukaryota; Viridiplantae; Chlorophyta; Chlorophyceae; Chlamydomonadales; Chlamydomonadaceae. The record is from RNAcentral.
AGUAUUAUACAGUACAACCGGUCGUACUGUAUGGGCACCUACAUGCGCAAUCAGAGGCCUACAGAUUGUACAGAGGCGACUGGCCUAAACCAGCCCUGACCUGAUACUCAGCCCCCAAUCCAACCCAACCCCGCCCCGGACUCAUCCCCCAAACCCGGACCCAGCCCUGCGGCAGUCCAAGAGCACCACCCUCACUACCUCAGAGGCUCAGACUACCCACUCUCGGUCCAGAACCCAGAGGCCAGUAAAGAGGAUGUCGGUCACAAAGGCGUGCCGACCCCCCAGAGAUGACAGGAUACUUUUUUCGCCUAACUUUAUCGCCGCGUGUCAAUAGCUGUCGGGGCAGAUCGCGUGCCGUAGAGGGGGCUCUUCGAUCCCAGCAGUGCCCAGCGCCGCCGUAUGGGGACGUCGGUAGCUGUUUUACUCACGGGAGGGGCUUCGCUGUUUGGUCUAGGCGGGUUGGAUAACAGGAGCAGGGGCUCGUACAGAGCCGGAUGGGUGGCGUGCGUGCAGGCGCACAGCCGUGGCACAGGCUGUCUUACUCAACCUUGCCGCCCAGGGUGAUCAGAGAUUAGAGAGAUAAGGUCGGGCGGGUUGCCCAAGUAGAGUCACCGCCGCUGGCGGGAGCUGGGGUUACCCUUCGCGUGCGGGGCACGCGGCGGGUGGUAGAGAGAGGAAGGGAGAGGGGCGGGGAGACAGGAAAGCAAGCAGGUCCCGCAAGCCGGCACGGCGUGUCGGAGACUUGGUCACACGCAGGUCAGGCAGACCAGGUGCAGGGGUAAGCAAAACUUCUUCAGACCAGAGGUGUCGCAGUCGACCUGCAAUCUGGGGCAGGGGAGGCGAACACCCCAGGGGGAGGGCAGGGGAGACAGGAAAGCAAGCAGGUCCCGCAAGCCGGCACGGCGUGUCGGAGACUUGGUCACACGCAGGUCAGGCAGACCAGGUGCAGGGGUAAGCAAAACUUCUUCAGACCAGAGGUGUCGCAGUCGACCUGCAAUCUGGGGCAGGGGAGGCGAACACCCCAGGGGGAGGGCAGGGGGAAGAGCCCCCGACGACCCAACCCGCAGACAAGGCGUGCGUGCCCGUCCAAUGCCGUCCGCCCCACUGCCUAGGCCCAGGCCCUGUGUUAUCUCACGCUAACGGCGUUCUCCGCCCGUCUCUGUCUCCUUCGUUCCCUGCUACUGCCACUAACCGAACAGGCUCAGGCCCAAACACCGAACCGGACCCUGCUCUGGCUCGCUCCCAGCUCACCCUGCUAUCAGCUGCUGUACCCAAUCGCUGCCAGACACUACACGUAUGCAACCCGGCGCAGAGGCUCUUCACUGGCGUACGCUAUGCGGGUUGGGGUACUCUCGACCCUAGUGUGGGCAGGGGCCUUGGCUAUCACUGACGGGCUGCGGGUAACAGCUCAGGACUUACGGGGAUAGGUUGGGGGCAACAGGCACAGCGGUGUGGGGUAGGGGAGAGAUGGGGAGAGGGGAGAGUCUGGGGCUCGGAUGAACCGGAGUAGGUGAGAGAUAAUAAGGGGAGGGGGAAGGGGGCUUCGAACGGGUACUUGGUCGUGCCGGGAGGCACCCUGUGGGGGAGGGGAAAGGCUAGCCUAGACUUGCGCGAGCGGGCGACUUCGCGCCGUGCACAAGGGGCCGCGAUACAAGGGAUCGUUCUUUGUCCAACUUGCAUUACAAUACUAGAGACUCGUAAUUCAAGAGUCUUGUUGAGAGUGACUCCUAUGAUUGCUCAGGAGUGACCGCGCCGUAGUGGCGGAGUGACUGAAACAGCACAGCUCGCUCGCUUAUAUCUUGCCCUCGGCCCCUGCAUUGGCCGGAUGGGACCCGUACAGGUCGUACGGGCCUAGGCCCCAAACCGCAAGUGCUACGCAACUGCGCCGAGAGGCCUACGUGCUACUAACUUCACUAAGGGCCCAUCGGGCCCCCUACGCGCACACCGCGCCAGCGUUUGCGUCGCUGCGCGCAACUAACACCCUUUCAGCUCCCAAACACAGCCGCGCUUCCCCUGUGGCGUUCUCUUGCGCAUCCGCAAAGUUCUCAGCCGUCUAGGCCCAGCGCUAGGCGUACCGCCUAGCGCUCGCUAUUCGGCCGCGGGACCCUUGUCAACAUACCGCACCAAGCCUGCGCAUCGCUUGCGCUUCUCGUGGCCUUUUGCAUGUCCCGACAGCUUGAGGCAGACAGCCCGCGUUUGGCAUUGCUUGCUCAACUAAUACUCUAUUAUCUAUCAAACGAUUCUUUAGCAAGCUUAGGCUUAGAGAGGCGGUCUUGCUUGCUCCGCCAUUCUGCUCGAUCCAAAGUCGAUUCCGCCCUCGCUAUCUCCAGUUCCCCGCCGCGUUCUGCCGCUCCGCCCAGUCGGCGCCGCGGCUUAUGUGCUUACUGCUUAAGUGGCUAUGCGGUGCGUGCCG